GUGGAAUAUAAGUUACCAAUGACUCUGUGUCAGCCUUCAAUUGGGUUUCUUCGCUCAGUAAUAGAGCAUACAACUCAUCAAAAGUAAUUGAAGCGUUCCUAGAUUCAAUAGCUCGUGCGAAUGGCCGAUAUUCACUUCCCAAUCCAUCAAGGAUGUCGCUAACCAGUGAGUCCUCAGAUACCGGUGAUUGGAGGACAGCUAGUUGAUCAUAUAGUGUCUUGGCCCUUCUCAUAUAUGAGUCAACUGAUUCAACACCUUU
RNAcentral lists this unclassified non-coding RNA (259 nucleotides) under Hevea brasiliensis (rubber tree). Lineage: Eukaryota; Viridiplantae; Streptophyta; Magnoliopsida; Malpighiales; Euphorbiaceae. The record is from RNAcentral.